RNAcentral lists this ribosomal RNA (501 nucleotides) under uncultured delta proteobacterium. RNAcentral describes it as "bacterial SSU rRNA". It matches the Rfam family "Bacterial small subunit ribosomal RNA", at positions 8 to 482 of the family's 1533-position model. Lineage: Bacteria; Deltaproteobacteria. The record is from RNAcentral.
AGAGUUUGAUCAUGGCUCAGAACAAACGCUGGCGGCGUGCCUAACACAUGCAAGUCGAACGAGAAAUCCCGAGCUUGCUUGGGAGAGUAAAGUGGCGCACGGGUGAGUAACGCGUGGGUAACCUACCUUUGAAUCUGGAAUAACCAGCCGAAAGGCUGACUAAUACCGGAUAUGGUUUUUAGAGCUUAGGUUCUUUAAAUUAAAGGUGACCUCUUCAUGAAAGUUGCCGUUCAUAGAUGGGCCCGCGUACCAUUAGCUUGUUGGUGGGGUAAUGGCCUACCAAGGCGACGAUGGUUAGCUGGUCUGAGAGGAUGAUCAGCCACACUGGAACUGGAACACGGUCCAGACUCCUACGGGAGGCAGCAGUGAGGAAUUUUGCGCAAUGGGGGAAACCCUGACGCAGCAACGCCGCGUGAGCGAAGAAGGCCUUCGGGUCGUAAAGCUCUGUCAAGUGGGAAAAAAAUCUUUUGAUCAAUAGUCAAAAGACGGGGAUGGACCANG